ACUUCUAAGAAAAAAAUGAGGUCCCUAAUGGCCUCUGCUUCUCUCACUCUUGCAUUAGCCAUCCUCUUUUUGAGUUUCCCAUCUGAAAUUUCAGCAAACAAAUACGCAUAUUCCUCUCCACCACCACCACAUUACUCAUCUCCUCCACCUCCACCGGUUCACACUUACCCUAAACCAGUCUACCACUCUCCACCACCACCAGUUCACACCUACCCUAAACCAGUUUACCACUCUCCACCACCACCAGUUCACAAGUACCCUCACCCUAAACCAGUAUACCACUCUCCACCACCCCCAGUUCACAAGUACCCUCAUCCACACCCAGUCUACCAUUCUCCACCACCCCCAGUUCACAAGUACCCCCAUCCUCACCCAGUGUACCACUCUCCCCCACCACCACCACCAAAGAAGUCCUACAAAUACCCAUCUCCCCCACCACCACCAGUUCACACCUACCCUAAACCAGUCUACCACUCUCCUCCACCCCCAGUUCAUCACACCUACCCUAAACCAGUCUACCACUCUCCUCCACCCCCAGUUCACACCUACCCUCACCCUAAACCAGUCUACCACUCUCCACCACCCCCAGUUCACACUUACCCUAAACCAGUCUACCACUCCCCACCACCACCAGUUCACACCUACGUCCCUCACCCUAAGCCAGUCUACCACUCUCCACCACCACCAGUUCACACCUAUCCCCCACAUGUUCCCCACCCAGUUUACCAUUCUCCUCCUCCUCCAGUUCAUUCCCCACCUCCACCACACUAUUACUACAAAUCACCUCCUCCACCUUACCACAACUAGAUAGCCCAUAAUUGGCAUCACACCAUAUGGUAACUUUUCAUGCAACAUAUAUAUUAUAACUUUUCAUAUUCUCUCUUUAUUAACUAGUUAUCGGUAUGAUUGUCGAGUAUAUACUAACAAGGCUAAUUUGAAAUGAAACUUCAUGUGCAAUGAAACAUUCUUUUACUGGUUAAUAUUUUAUUCUAUGUUUCAUUGAAAUUAAUAUUUUUCUAAUAGUAUUUGGUUAUUAAGGGAUUAGAGUAUAUCAGACAUAAACUGACAGAUCAAUAUAUUUGCAUUUGUGUAGGAUCUAAACAGAAAGUGUGAAAGCAAAGAAAGCCAUGCACAAAGAAGAUCAAGGGGAUUCUUCACAUAUAUUUCGUCAGCAUUUGAUUAAGAUUGUUUAGAGGGCUCCGUUUAUUUGUAUUUAAUUUGUGUUUUUGUUGUAUUAUCCACAGCUGUAAGGCACUGCCCCAAUAUGCAUGUGUCUGCAGUUGUUUUCAUGCAUUGUAAUUUUCAAAGUUCGGCUUUGUAUCAAGCUGACUCACAAACUAAAUAAAUAUAUAUCCCCUAUUAUAGUAAUCUGUCCCUUUCAUCUAUGACUCCUUUUAUAUUACUAUUCUUGUGAUAAAAAUAAUCUGUGUUUAUUUGUUUCUACUAAUUAUUUUUGGUUUACCUUUCUCCG
This 1471-nucleotide long non-coding RNA is filed under the name Medicago truncatula (barrel medic). Its description in RNAcentral is "long non-coding RNA (MTRU_LNC007681)". Lineage: Eukaryota; Viridiplantae; Streptophyta; Magnoliopsida; Fabales; Fabaceae. The record is from RNAcentral.